UACGUAGGGUGCAAGCGUUGUCCGGAAUUAUUGGGCGUAAAGAGCUUGUAGGCGGUUUGUCGCGUCUGCUGUGAAAUUUCGGGGCUCAACCCCGAACUUGCAGUGGGUACGGGCAGACUAGAGUGUGGUAGGGGAGACUGGAAUUCCUGGUGUAGCGGUGAAAUGCGCAGAUAUCGAGAGGAACACCUGCGGCGAAGGCGGCUCUCUGGGACGGUACUGACGCUGAGACGCGAAAGCGUGGGGAGCGAACAGG
Molecule: ribosomal RNA, 253 nt
Filed under: uncultured bacterium
Lineage: Bacteria
Description: partial 16S ribosomal RNA
Rfam family: Bacterial small subunit ribosomal RNA
Source: RNAcentral